Molecule: long non-coding RNA, 678 nt
Organism: Ictalurus punctatus (channel catfish)
Lineage: Eukaryota; Metazoa; Chordata; Actinopteri; Siluriformes; Ictaluridae
Source: Ensembl
GUCUCUGUUCACAACAAGAUACAAUAGCAGAUCCAAUUAUGUGCUUCCUCUUCCUGGUUGUUCUUGUAUGCUGGAAGUAUUAUGUAAUGGUAAGAGUCACAUUUUGAAAUUCUAAAAUUGUGCAAGAGCUCCACAUGCAUGUCUGGGUUUACUUAGGAAGACAGAUUUGUUUUUCAUGAGAACGACUGAAGACCGGCCAUUCUUCUUCAGGAUUUUCUGUUAGUGAGCAGAAUUCAUGUUUCCCUCAGUUACUGCAAGUUGCCCAGGCCCGGAAGCAGCAAAGCAUCCCAACACCAUCACACUUCCACCACCAUGCUUGACUGUAGGGUUGGUGGACACUGGAGCCUAUCCCAGGGGACUUGGGCACAGGUGGGGGACACCCUGGCUGCCAACCCAUUGCAGGGCACAAUCGCACACACACUCAUACACCCUAGCACACACUAUGGACAAUUUAGAAAUGCCAAUCAGUGUACAACACAUGUCUUUGGACUGGGGAGGAAACCAGAGUACCCAGAAGAAACCCCUGAACCACAGGGAGAACAUGCAAACUCCAUGCAUACAGGGUGCAGGUGGGAACUGAAAUUUCUAUUCGAGGCAAACGUGCAAACCACUAAGCCAUAGUGCCCUCACAUUUAUGAAAAGGUUCCAAUACAAAAAUACUUGUAAGAAUAUCAGAAA